This 425-nucleotide ribosomal RNA is filed under the name uncultured bacterium. RNAcentral's name for it is "bacterial SSU rRNA". It matches the Rfam family "Bacterial small subunit ribosomal RNA", at positions 356 to 773 of the family's 1533-position model. The record is from RNAcentral.
GGGGAAUAUUGCACAAUGGGCGAAAGCCUGAUGCAGCGACGCCGCGUGAGGGAUGAAGGUCUUCGGAUCGUAAACCUCUGUCAGAAGGGAAGAAACUACGCUGUGCUAAUCAGCAGUGUACUGACGGUACCUUCAAAGGAAGCACCGGCUAACUCCGUGCCAGCAGCCGCGGUAAUACGGAGGGUGCAAGCGUUAAUCGGAAUUACUGGGCGUAAAGCGCACGUAGGCUGUAGUGUAAGUCAGGGGUGAAAUCCCACGGCUCAACCGUGGAACUGCCUUUGAUACUGCACAACUUGAAUCCGGGAGAGGGUGGCGGAAUUCCAGGUGUAGGAGUGAAAUCCGUAGAUAUCUGGAGGAACAUCAGUGGCGAAGGCGGCCACCUGGACCGGUAUUGACGCUGAGGUGCGAAAGCGUGGGGAGCAAAC